RNAcentral lists this ribosomal RNA (460 nucleotides) under uncultured bacterium. RNAcentral describes it as "partial 16S ribosomal RNA". It matches the Rfam family "Bacterial small subunit ribosomal RNA", at positions 338 to 795 of the family's 1533-position model. The record is from RNAcentral.
CCUACGGGAGGCUGCAGUGAGGAAUAUUGGUCAAUGGACGAGAGCCUGAACCAGCCAAGUCGCGUGAAGGAUGACUGCCCUAUGGGUUGUAAACUUCUUUUAUAUGGGAAUAAAAUGUUCCACGUGUGGGAUUUUGUAUGUACCAUAUGAAUAAGGAUCGGAUAACUCCGUGCCAGCAGCCGCGGUAAUACGGAGGAUCCGAGCGUUAUCCGGAUUUAUUGGGUUUAAAGGGAGCGUAGGUGGAUUGUUAAGUCAGUUGUGAAAGUUUGCGGCUCAACCGUAAAAUUGCAGUUGAAACUGGCAGUCUAGAGUACAGUAGAGGUGGGCGGAAGUCGUGGUGUAGCGGUGAAAUGCUUAGAUAUCACGAAGAACUCCGAUUGCGAAGGCAGCUCACUGGACUGCAACUGACACUGAGGCUCGAAAGUGUGGGUAUCAAACAGGAUUAGAUACCCUUGUAGUC